This 300-nucleotide long non-coding RNA is filed under the name Mytilus galloprovincialis (Mediterranean mussel). The record is from RNAcentral. Lineage: Eukaryota; Metazoa; Mollusca; Bivalvia; Mytilida; Mytilidae.
GAUCAAUAAUGUUGCCAAAGACAAAGCUGUCAGAGUUUUCAGUGUCUGGUGUUGAUGGACAUCUCAGAGCAGGUGCAUUAUACUUCUCUUCCGAUAUAACUUUUUCGACUUCUUUGCUUUCAUCUAUAGUAUUCAUAAAAUCUGGUAAUGGUCCGUCGGAUGUAUCAGAAAUGGUAAUUUCAGGCAAUUUUUCAUUCUCGCCCAGAAUCUGAAUUUCAGACAACACUCGGUUAGUAGAAACGUUGCUAUGGUUGUCUACAUGAAGCUGUUUUUGUUGAUUUAAGCAUUGGCAUUCUAUAG